This 495-nucleotide ribosomal RNA is filed under the name uncultured bacterium. RNAcentral's name for it is "partial 16S ribosomal RNA". It matches the Rfam family "Bacterial small subunit ribosomal RNA", at positions 28 to 507 of the family's 1533-position model. The record is from RNAcentral.
GACGAACGCUGGCGGCGUGCCUAAUACAUGCAAGUAGAACGCUGAAGGAGGAGCUUGCUUCUCUGGAUGAGUUGCGAACGGGUGAGUAACGCGUAGGUAACCUGCCUGGUAGCGGGGGAUAACUAUUGGAAACGAUAGCUAAUACCGCAUAACAGUAGAUAUCGCAUGAUAUCUACUUGAAAGGUGCAAUUGCAUCACUACCAGAUGGACCUGCGGUGUAUUAGCUAGUUGGUGAGGUAACGGCUCACUAAGGCGACGAUACAUAGCCGACCUGAGAGGGUGGUCGGCCACACUGGGACUGAGACACGGCCCAGACUCCUACGGGAGGCAGCAGUAGGGAAUCUUCGGCAAUGGACGGAAGUCUGACCGAGGAACGCCGCGUGAGUGAAGAAGGGUUUCGGAUCGUAAAGCUCUGUUGGAAGAGAAGGACGAGUGUGAGAGUGGAAAGUUCACACUGUGACGGUAUCUUACCAGAAAGGGACGGCUAACUACGUG